RNAcentral lists this ribosomal RNA (207 nucleotides) under uncultured Atopostipes sp. RNAcentral's name for it is "partial 16S ribosomal RNA". It matches the Rfam family "Bacterial small subunit ribosomal RNA", at positions 568 to 774 of the family's 1533-position model. The record is from RNAcentral. Lineage: Bacteria; Bacillati; Bacillota; Bacilli; Lactobacillales; Carnobacteriaceae.
AGCGCAGGCGGUUGGAGUAGUCUGAUGUGAAAGCCCACGGCUUAACCGUGGAAGGUCAUUGGAAACUGUCCAACUUGAAUGCAGAAGAGGUAAGUGGAAUUCCAUGUGUAGCGGUGAAAUGCGUAGAUAUAUGGAGGAACACCAAUGGCGAAGGCGACUUACUGGUCUGUGAUUGACGCUGAGGCUCGAAAGCGUGGGUAGCAAACA